This 404-nucleotide ribosomal RNA is filed under the name Actinomycetes bacterium. Its description in RNAcentral is "Actinobacteria bacterium partial 16S ribosomal RNA". It matches the Rfam family "Bacterial small subunit ribosomal RNA", at positions 355 to 776 of the family's 1533-position model. The record is from RNAcentral. Lineage: Bacteria; Bacillati; Actinomycetota; Actinomycetes.
UGGGGAAUAUUGGACAAUGGGCGCAAGCCUGAUCCAGCCAUGCCGCGUGAGUGAUGAAGGCCCUAGGGUUGUAAAGCUCUUUCACCGGUGAAGAUAAUGACGGUAACCGGAGAAGAAGCCCCGGCUAACUUCGUGCCAGCAGCCGCGGUAAUACGAAGGGGGCUAGCGUUGUUCGGAUUUACUGGGCGUAAAGCGCACGUAGGCGGACUAUUAAGUCAGGGGUGAAAUCCCGGGGCUCAACCCCGGAACUGCCUUUGAUACUGGUAGUCUUGAGUUCGAGAGAGGUGAGUGGAAGUCCGAGUGUAGAGGUGAAAUUCGUAGAUAUUCGGAGGAACACCAGUGGCGAAGGCGGCUCACUGGCUCGAUACUGACGCUGCGGUGCGAAAGCGUGGGGAGCAAACAGG